UCGUAGUCGCUGAGCCGCGUCAACAACAUCCGGACCUCCCUCAUCAACGCGCAGAAAGGUACCCAAUCAGCCGCCACCUACUUUGCUCACAUGCGUGGCCUCGCCGACGAACUGGCCGCGGCGGGCAAGCCGAUCCAGGAUGAUGAGCUCAUCUCCUAUAUCCUCCAUGGGCAGGAUCUGGAGUACCAGCCCCUGGUCUCGGCUCUCGACGCCCGCGUCUCCCCCGCCUCCCUCGACGAGAUCUUCGCCAUGCUCAACAACUUCGACCAGCGCAUGGCGCAGUUCCACGGUGCGGGCGGCUCCUCCUUCAAAUCGUCCGCCAACGCUGCAACCCGUGGACGUGGCGGUGGCCAUUCCCGCGGCUCUUCUCGCGGGAGGGGACGCUCCAGUGGCAGCAGCAACAACGGUGGGUGCUUCAACAACAAGACUAGCUCCGGUCGAUCUCGUCCGGACGUGCCUCGCUGCCAGAUAUGUGGUAAGCAGGGACACAUAGCAAAAGACUGCUGGUACCGCUAUGAUGAGGACGAGGACGAUUCUCAGGACGAUGACAAGGUUGCUGCAGCGGCCGACGGCUCCUACGGCAUUGACACCAACUAG
This 597-nucleotide ribosomal RNA is filed under the name Triticum aestivum (bread wheat). Its description in RNAcentral is "partial small subunit ribosomal RNA". Lineage: Eukaryota; Viridiplantae; Streptophyta; Magnoliopsida; Poales; Poaceae. The record is from RNAcentral.